RNAcentral lists this ribosomal RNA (2226 nucleotides) under Triticum aestivum (bread wheat). RNAcentral describes it as "partial small subunit ribosomal RNA". Lineage: Eukaryota; Viridiplantae; Streptophyta; Magnoliopsida; Poales; Poaceae. The record is from RNAcentral.
AUGAAGAUUGAGGGUAGAAGGGUUAGUGAUCUCACUACUAGACUUGGUUUUGAAGGUUGUUAUCCAGUUAGUAGUGAUGGCCUUAGUGGCGGACUUGCGUUGUUUUGGUCGAAGGAAGUAGAAGUGACACUAAAUAAUUUCUCAAAUCAGCAUAUUGAUGUAUCUGUUAAGAACAUAUGCGGUGAUAAUAAAAAGUGGAGGUUUACGGGCUUCUAUGCGAAAGCUAGAAGAAGUGAAUGGGUAGAAAGUUGGAACUUGUUGAGAUGGUUGAAAGCUCAAAGUGAUGCUCCAUGGUUAUGUGGAGGUGAUUUUAAUGAAAUUCUUGAUAACUCGGAGUACUUUGGAGCUCAUGAUCGCCCGGAGUGGCAAAUGGAGGGUUUUAGGCAAUGUGUGGAUGACUGUGAAUUUCAAGAUCUCGGGUUCCAGGGUGUACCUUUUACCUGGGAUAAUAUGCAACAUGGUGAGUCAAACGUUAAAGUCCGGCUUGAUAGGUUCUUAGUGAACCAGGCGAUGGCGUCAAUGUAUCCAUCUUCCUUUGGAUGGCGUCAAGGAGCGGGUUUGCAAGGUUUGCAGGGCAUAGAUCAUGCCCUGUCAGACAUGCAAGUACAUCUUACGGACUGGAAAUCAAAGAAGUUUGGAGAUGUGAAGAAGAAAAUAAAGAAGGUACGUAAUGAGUACGAGAGGGAAAGAUCAAACUCGUUGUUUCGAGGACCGACCAAGAAAGAAAAAGAUCUAGCCAGGCAGCUCUCGGAGCUUCUUCACAAGGAGGAGAUCUUGGCGAGGCAGCGGUCUAGGGCAGAUUGGCUCAAGGCAGGAGAUAGGAACACGGGUUUCUUCCAGGCCCGUGCAGCGGCACGUAAAAGUAUAAACAGGAUCCGCAGCCUUCAAACUGCGGAUGGGGAGAUCUGUGAGACAAAAGAAGAAGUUCAUGCUAAGGUGCAACAGUUUUAUACUGGCCUGUACACGGCGCAAGAGAACACGGAUGUGGAGGCAUUUGUGUCGGACUUGUUAGACCCGAUGACAAAUCAAUGGAAUACGGAGUUGAUUCAGAGUAUCUUCUAUGCACCCGACGCGGCAGCUAUUCUUGCUAUGGCAAGACCGCGAGUAGGAGGUGCAGAUGUGUGGGCAUGGGCCAAGGAGAAAUCUGGCCUUUUCACGGUCAGAUCGGUGUAUCGGCAUGAGAUGGAGACUAGAAGCCAGGGGACUGAAUCUUCGGGUUCCUCAUCAGGUGAUACGACCAUCUGGAAGGCAUUGUGGAAAAUUAACGUGCUCCCCAAGAUCCGGGUGUUUUGGUGGCGCGUGCUAAAGAAUUUUUUGCCGUCCUAUGGGGAGCUUCAAAGGCGGCAUAUCAAGCAACUACCUCACUGUCCGAUGAACAACUAUACUCAUGGUGAGUUGGUGUACCAACCAAUUAAAUCAAUGGUGAUCAUUGAAGAGAUUAUCAGGGCACUUGAGAUACCUGAGAGGAAGAAGACCGAAAGUACUGCCCGUCGGGGUUGGCUACCACCAGAUGAGGGCUGGAUAAAAAUCAAUACCGAUGGUGCGACGGAUAUGGGGCAACUGCGUGGAGGAGCAGGUUUUAUUGCUCGAGAUCACAAUGGAGUUUUUGUUAGAGGAGGAGGUACAAGAUAUGAUGGGGUUCUUGAUCCAUUAUCCAUUGAGGUACUUGCGUGCAGAGAUGCGAUCAAUAUGGCGCUAGAUAUGGGCUUGCAGCAAGUAGUUGUGGAGACAGAUUGUCAAGAGAUCCAUCGGCUGUGGGAACUACCUCAGAAGUCGUCGUGUUUUCACUUGAUCACGAAGAUGAAGAAUCUAUCUUCUUUUUUCCAGGGAUUUGAGCUACGGUUUGUAGGUUCUAGCGGCGACACUGUAGAAACGGCCCCACAGCCACAGACUUCGUCCCCAUUCUCACUCAAAAUACCGGAAACACCCCUCGCGCCAAGCCUGCAGCCUCUGCCCUUAUCCUCUUCCUCUGUUUUUGCCCGCUUUGCCCCCACCCCUCCCGAGGGCGGCGGCGACGCCACCGAUCACCGCAUUGCCUACUUCUUCCGCGCCGGCUUCCCCGCUCGUCUCGUCUCGGCUCCGACUCCCACGCCACGCCAUCGCCAUCGAACCUUCUCUCCGCGGAGCACGCCAGCUCGAAGGAGCUCCGAGCGGAGCUCCGUGCGAGCUUGCUCGACUGCUGCUUCAGAGCUGGUGACGACCACUAACCACCUCGCAGCGUCCUAG